Molecule: ribosomal RNA, 406 nt
Filed under: uncultured bacterium
Lineage: Bacteria
Description: partial 16S ribosomal RNA
Rfam family: Bacterial small subunit ribosomal RNA
Source: RNAcentral
AUUGAACGCUGGCGGCAGGCCUAACACAUGCAAGUCGAACGAGCGGCGGACGGGUGAGUAAUGUCUGGGAAUCUGCCUGAUGGAGGGGGAUAACUACUGGAAACGGUAGCUAAUACCGCAUACCAUCAGAUGUGCCCAGAUGGGAUUAGCUAGUUGGUGGGGUAACGGCUUACCAAGGCGACGAUCCCUAGCUGGUCUGAGAGGAUGACCAGCCACACUGGAACUGAGACACGGUCCAGACUCCUACGGGAGGCAGCAGUGGGGAAUAUUGCACAAUGGGCGCAAGCCUGAUGCAGCCAGGCCGCGUGUAUGAAGAAGGCCUUCGGGUUGUAAAGUACUUUCAGCGGGGAGGCGUUACCCGCAGAAGAAGCACCGGCUAACUCCGUGCCAGCAGCCGCGGUAAUUC